CUAAGGUUCUUUCUCUUUCCCUUGGUGCAUCACAAACCAUCUGUUAAAUUGCUAUCUCUAAAAUCUCAAACUGUUAGAGAAUGGCAUAUUUAUUUACCUAAAAUCUCUCUCUCUCUCUCUCUCUCUCUCUCUCUCCCUCUCUCUCUCUCUCUCUUUUGGUAGAAUUGUCUAACGUGUGAUCGUAAAGGGGUUUCGGCUAUAUUUUAAUUUAAUGCUACUUGCAGUCGCUCACUCCAACUGCAAGUAGCAUCAUUCUUUAACUUAAGAUAUUUCUCUAUUUUGAUACCACGUUGAACUAAUGAGUCUUCAACAACACUUGCGCACCUCACCUAGGAGGAAAUGACAUGAACCGGUUUGAUAUAUUGGGAAUUAUAUUCAUUUCACCUUUCUUUACUUUUAGGUGGCCUUGAAAUCGUAUGAGUUGGUUUUUGACGCGGUUUACACACCUCGAAACACUCGACUACUGCAAGAGGCAGCAGAUGUUGGCGCUAUAGUGGUGAGUGGUGUUGAGAUGUUCAUCAGGCAGGCUCUCGGCCAAUUUAAGUUAUUCACUGGUGGAUUAGGUACUAUCUUGUCUCUCUCACUUUGAUUAUUUAAUACUUGAAAAGCCAAAAAGCUCUUAUUUUCUUUAAGAAAGAUGUUCCUAACAACUUAUAAGUUGAUUUCUAAUGCCAUGAAACAGAAAAGUUAAUAAAUCUUAAGCUAAAUUAAUAUCAAGGCACGUUAUUCUCCUAACAAGAUUGUACUUAUACAAUUGGAUUUUUGUUUAAAAAUGAGAUAAGGGAAUGAAGUAAACUUACUCCCUGUCGACAAAGAAGGGGGAGAAAUUCAGGUCGAAUGAUAAAAACAGAAAGAAAGAGAGAGAUACAUAUAUAUAUAUACCCACAGAGACCAUAUAUAGUAUAAAUGAGGAAUUUUUUUACUUUUAACAAUUUGACAGUGAGGUUUGCUAACUCUUUCGAGUCUAUUUGUGAUUUCCAGCACCAGAGGACUUCAUGCGCAAGAUUGUAUUAGAGCAAUUUUGAUAUAUAUAAUCUGUACUGAGGAACGUAUUGAAAUAAAGAGGACUUGAUUGUAAUAUUUGGGAGGAUUUAUUUAAUCAUAUAGGUCGGCUCUUGACUUGUUAUUUCAAUAAAUCAAACUUAGAAAAAUUAGAUAAAUACUUGAGUUCAUGCCAAAAGCAAGGUCAUUUUGAGAACCUUGUCUUCCCUAGGCCUUGCACGGCUUAUCGGGAAGACGAAGAAGCUCUUCCUUCUAUUUUUAGAGCUUAUUUAUAGACAGUAGUGACUCUUUCUUUCUUUUUCUUUUUUUCUCAUUUUUAGAAGUGGAGAUAAAGCUUAUGAUUUGUAUAAAGCUUUCAACUUUCUAAGUCGGGAACAAGUUACCUACUGUUACGGACCUUCCUCCAGU
RNAcentral lists this long non-coding RNA (1410 nucleotides) under Olea europaea subsp. europaea. The record is from RNAcentral. Lineage: Eukaryota; Viridiplantae; Streptophyta; Magnoliopsida; Lamiales; Oleaceae.